GAGCCCGCUUCAGCACCACAUAUACUAAAACUGGAACAAUACAGAGUAGAUUAGCAUGGCCCCUGAGCAAGGAUGACAUGCAAAUUCGCGAAGUGUUCCAUAUUUUU
Molecule: small nuclear RNA, 107 nt
Filed under: Dipodomys ordii (Ord's kangaroo rat)
Lineage: Eukaryota; Metazoa; Chordata; Mammalia; Rodentia; Heteromyidae
Source: RNAcentral